GGCAGAGGUCCCGAGCGUUAGGCGGAAUCACUGGGCUUAAAGCGUGUGUAGGCGGAUGCCUAAGUACCUUGUGAAAUCCCACGGCUCAACCGUGGAACUGCUUGGUAUACUGGGUGUCUUGAGCCACUUAGGGGCGACCGGAACAGACGGUGGAGCGGUGAAAUGCGUAGAUAUCGUCUGGAACGCCAAUGGUGAAAACAGGUCGCUGGGAGUGUGCUGACGCUGAGACACGAAAGCCAGGGGAGCAAACAGG
RNAcentral lists this ribosomal RNA (253 nucleotides) under uncultured bacterium. RNAcentral describes it as "partial 16S ribosomal RNA". It matches the Rfam family "Bacterial small subunit ribosomal RNA", at positions 524 to 776 of the family's 1533-position model. The record is from RNAcentral.